RNAcentral lists this ribosomal RNA (448 nucleotides) under uncultured bacterium. Its description in RNAcentral is "SSU rRNA". It matches the Rfam family "Bacterial small subunit ribosomal RNA", at positions 26 to 518 of the family's 1533-position model. The record is from RNAcentral.
AGGAUGAACGCUGGCGGUCUGCUUAACACAUGCAAGUCGAACGGAGUACCUCGGUACUUAGUGGCGGACGGGUGAGUAACGCGUGAGAAUCUGCCCUUAGGUCGGGGACAACCAUUGGAAACGAUGGCUAAUACCGGAUAAGCCGAGAGGUAAAAGAUUAAUUGCCUAGGGAAGAGCUCGCGUCUGAUUAGCUAGUUGGUGAGGUAAAGGCUCACCAAGGCAUCGAUCAGUAGCUGGUCUGAGAGGAUGAUCAGCCACACUGGGACUGAGACACGGCCCAGACUCCUACGGGAGGCAGCAGUGGGAAUUUUCCGCAAUGGGCGAAAGCCUGACGGAGCAAGCCGCGUGAGGGAGGAAGGCUCUUGGGUUGUAAACCUCUUUUCGUUGGGGAAGAACAAAUGACGGUACCCAAGGAAUCAGCAUCGGCUAACUCCGUGCCAGCAGCCGC